UUUUAUUUUCGGGCAUGUGUGCU
Molecule: small nuclear RNA, 23 nt
Filed under: Arabidopsis thaliana (thale cress)
Lineage: Eukaryota; Viridiplantae; Streptophyta; Magnoliopsida; Brassicales; Brassicaceae
Description: snRNA_09946
Source: RNAcentral